Onychostoma macrolepis is the source of this 178-nucleotide long non-coding RNA. RefSeq lists it as uncharacterized. Lineage: Eukaryota; Metazoa; Chordata; Actinopteri; Cypriniformes; Cyprinidae. The record is from RefSeq and is a predicted model, not a curated record. The transcript has 3 exons.
AUGACUUCAAUUCAAAUGGGCAAAAUUGUACAUCAAAUAACAGGGCAAUAAUGAAAUCACAACCUGGGUCUACUAGCAUGGAUGCUGAAAGCCAGAUUGCAGAGACCCUUAAACAUGCACCAGGUCUGGUUAGGAGAAAGGCUAAUCGAUCAGUUACUCCACAUUUACAAGAUGGCUC